GACGAACGCUGGCGGCGUGCUUAACACAUGCAAGUCGAGCGGUAAGGCCCUUUCGGGGGUACACGAGCGGCGAACGGGUGAGUAACACGUGGGUGACCUGCCCUCAGCUCUGGGAUAAGCCCGGGAAACUGGGUCUAAUACCGGAUAUGACUUCAUGACGCAUGUUGUGGAGUGGAAAGCCUUGUGCGGCUGAGGAUGGGCCCGCGGCCUAUCAGCUUGUUGGUGGGGUGAGGCCUACCAAGGCGACGACGGGUAGCCGGCCUGAGAGGGCGACCGGCCACACUGGGACUGAGAUACGGCCCAGACUCCUACGGGAGGCAGCAGUGGGGAAUCUUGCGCAAUGGGCGAAAAGCCUGACGCAGCGACGCCGCGUGAGGGA
Molecule: ribosomal RNA, 379 nt
Filed under: uncultured bacterium
Lineage: Bacteria
Description: bacterial SSU rRNA
Rfam family: Bacterial small subunit ribosomal RNA
Source: RNAcentral